GUAGUGGGCUGUUCAGGGCCACACGGAGUUUGUUACGGAGAGUAGUGUCAUUAGGGGGCCGUUCAGGGCUACGUAGAGUUUGUUAUGGAGAGUGGAGUGGUGUCCGUUAUUGUGACUUGCCAGAGAGUAGUGGGGCCAUGUGGAAUCUAUUACAGAGAGUGGAGUAAGGUAGUGGCUAUUGUUGUGACUUGCCAGAGAGUUCGGACCUGACGGCUGAAGCUCGGCUGAGAUGUCUGAUGGAGCGGAAUGGCUUUCUGUCUC
This 261-nucleotide long non-coding RNA is filed under the name Elaeis guineensis (African oil palm). RNAcentral's name for it is "long non-coding RNA (EGUI_LNC036177)". Lineage: Eukaryota; Viridiplantae; Streptophyta; Magnoliopsida; Arecales; Arecaceae. The record is from RNAcentral.